This 545-nucleotide ribosomal RNA is filed under the name uncultured archaeon. Its description in RNAcentral is "bacterial SSU rRNA". It matches the Rfam family "Archaeal small subunit ribosomal RNA", at positions 333 to 879 of the family's 1478-position model. The record is from RNAcentral.
CACCAGGCGCGAAAACUCUACAAUGCAGGCAACUGCGAUAGGGGAACAUCGAGUGGCGUCCAUAUUGGAUGUCUGUCCUCCCGCCUAAAAAGCGGGAGUUAGCAAGGGCCGGGCAAGACCGGUGCCAGCCGCCGCGGUAAUACCGGCGGCUCGAGUGGUGGCCGAUAUUAUUGAGUCUAAAGGGUCCGUAGCCGGCUUUGCAAGUCUCUCGGGAAAUCCAGCGGCUUAACCGUUGGUCGUCCGGGGGGUACUACAUUGCUUGGGACUGGGAGAGGUAGGAGGUACUCAGGGGGUAGGAGUGAAAUCCUGUAAUCCUUUGGGGACCACCGGUGGCGAAGGCGUCCUACCAGAACAGGUCCGACGGUGAGGGACGAAAGCUAGGGGCACGAACCGGAUUAGAUACCCGGGUAGUCCUAGCCGUAAACGAUGCUCGCUAGGUGUCACAACAGUCGUGAACUGUUGUGGUGCCGUAGGGAAGCCGUGAAGCGAGCCACUUGGGAAGUACGACCGCAAGGUUAAACUUAAAGGAAUUGGCGGGGGAGCAC